This 1266-nucleotide unclassified non-coding RNA is filed under the name Hevea brasiliensis (rubber tree). The record is from RNAcentral. Lineage: Eukaryota; Viridiplantae; Streptophyta; Magnoliopsida; Malpighiales; Euphorbiaceae.
UUCUUUUCUUUUCUUUCCUUUCCUUUCCUUUUCUUUCCUUUCCUUACCCACUUAACAAUUACAUUUAGAAUGGUGAUUUAGCUGCACUACCGACACUAUCUUCUAUACUGAGAAAUUUCCCUUCUUUCCAUGGGAAAGAGAGAGACAGAGUGCUAUUUUUUAAGUCGAUAAUAAAAUCAGAACUCUCUGUUUCUCCCUCCUCCUCACCUUGCCUAAACGAAUGUAGGGUGGAAAGCAAACAUGGCAGAGAGAGAAGGGAAAUUGCAAAUUCUAUGAACCAUAAUUCACUCUCUGUUCCUCUCUGUGCUCACUCUUUCUUCUUCGUCCCGCAUGCUUUUUUAGCAACCCACGAUAAUACCCACAUAUCAAUUAUGUAAGUCGUAUUUGCUACUUGUUUUCUUUGUAUUCCUUUUCAUGGUAUUUGGAUUGAAUCUUCUGUUUUCUGAAUUGGGAUUUCAUUAGUACUUUUUUUUUCUGGUUCGAUUUGAUUGUGGGUCAGCUUGAUUAACUACCCAGAUCAGUUUAUUCGGUUAAAAGUUGUUAUCUUUACCGCUAAAAUACAGUUAAUCUUACGUAUCUUUGGAAGAACUGAAGUGGGAUUCUACGGGAUCUAUGCUUCUUCAUCUAUGAUGAAGUGAAGGACCAAAGAUUAAGCUGGCUUGAAACUAAUCAAGGUCUCAGUUGGAUCUGAUUAUUUGCCAGCAGAAUAGUUUUCCACGUGUUGAUGCAUCAACUACAUAGAUCCACCGCUUGGAUGCAGGAAUUGCAAAUUCCUAAUGCUAAAAUUUUAUGAUGGACUCUAGAAGUUAUGUAGCUUAUUUCAUGGUAUGUACGUGCAACUUAGAUAGUACUGCCGUAUCUCCCUUGUAACAGAAUCUUUUUGAUAUUCUGAUGAAUUGCAUUAAUCUUCACUCUAUCUCGUGGUUCUACGUGCUCUGUUAAUAAUAGGAGGCAACUGUUAAUUUCGUUUCCCUACCUUCAAACAUUUUUCAGGCCCUUAUCUCUUUGAUCAUGUGAUGGAAACCCAAUAGCUUUUCCUUUCUUCUUCCAGAAUCAUUGUUAAAUGACUUUGUUUUCUUAAUCCAACUUUACUAAUAUGUUUAUCUCAUACCCAUUCCUAGUUCUUUUAUAUCUUCUAUGGUAGUGAUCAUUUUAUUCAUUUGAAUACAUUUUGCAUGAGUACUAUCAGCACCUGGAAUGCACUUGCAAUAUUCUUAUGAUGUUUUAAUUUAAUGCAGUGAUGUACAGCUAUGGGAACAUUGACAC